AUCAGCUUGUUGGUGGGGUGAUGGCCUACCAAGGCGACGACGGGUAGCCGGCCUGAGAGGGCGACCGGCCACACUGGGACUGAGACACGGCCCAGACUCCUACGGGAGGCAGCAGUAAGGAAUAUUGCACAAUGGGCGAAAGCCUGAUGCAGCGACGCCGCGUGAGGGAUGACGGCCUUCGGGUUGUAAACCUCUUUCAGCAUUGAAGAAGCGAAAGUGACGGUACCUGCAGAAGAAGCGCCGGCUAACUACGUGCCAGCAGCCGCGGUAAUACGUAGGGCGCAAGCGUUGUCCGGAAUUAUUGGGCGUAAAGAGCUCGUAGGCGGCUUGUCACGUCGGAUGUGAAAGCCCGGGGCUUCACCCCGGGUCUGCAUUCGAUACGGGCAGGCUAGAGUGUGGUAGGGGAGAUCGGAAUUCCUGGUGUAGCGGUGAAAUGCGCAGAUAUCAGGAGGAACACCGGUGGCGAAGGCGGAUCUCUGGGGCAUUACUGACGCUGAGGAGCGAAAGCG
RNAcentral lists this ribosomal RNA (509 nucleotides) under Streptomyces sp. LP20. RNAcentral's name for it is "bacterial SSU rRNA". It matches the Rfam family "Bacterial small subunit ribosomal RNA", at positions 240 to 761 of the family's 1533-position model. The record is from RNAcentral. Lineage: Bacteria; Bacillati; Actinomycetota; Actinomycetes; Kitasatosporales; Streptomycetaceae.